RNAcentral lists this ribosomal RNA (465 nucleotides) under uncultured bacterium. Its description in RNAcentral is "partial 16S ribosomal RNA". It matches the Rfam family "Bacterial small subunit ribosomal RNA", at positions 339 to 795 of the family's 1533-position model. The record is from RNAcentral.
CUACGGGGGGCUGCAGUGGGGAAUAUUGGACAAUGGGGGAAACCCUGAUCCAGCAAUGCCGCGUGUGUGAAGAAGGCCUGCGGGUUGUAAAGCACUUUCGGUUGGGAGGACUGCUUCUAGCACUAAUAUUGUUGGAAGUUGACGUUACCUUCAGAAGAAGCACCGGCUAACUCCGUGCCAGCAGCCGCGGUAAUACUGAGGGUGCAAGCGUUAAUCGGAAUUACUGGGCGUAAAGCACGCGUAGGCGGCUAGAUCAGUCGGGUGUGAAAGCCCCGGGCUUAACCUGGGAACUGCAUCCGAUACUGUCUAGCUUGAGUACAGGAGAGGAGAGUGGAAUUCCACAUGUAGCGGUGAAAUGCGUAGAUAUGUGGAGGAACACCAAUGGCGAAGGCAGCUCUCUGGCCUGAUACUGACGCUGAGGUGCGAAAGCGUGGGGAGCAAACAGGAUUAGAUACCCGGGUAGUC